UAUCUUGAAUUCGUCUUCGCGUUUUAAC
This 28-nucleotide non-coding RNA is filed under the name Bombyx mori (domestic silkworm). Lineage: Eukaryota; Metazoa; Arthropoda; Insecta; Lepidoptera; Bombycidae. The record is from RNAcentral.